Molecule: ribosomal RNA, 92 nt
Filed under: Pleurotus tuber-regium
Lineage: Eukaryota; Fungi; Basidiomycota; Agaricomycetes; Agaricales; Pleurotaceae
Description: partial 5.8S ribosomal RNA
Rfam family: 5.8S ribosomal RNA
About the family: 5.8S ribosomal RNA (5.8S rRNA) is a component of the large subunit of the eukaryotic ribosome. It is transcribed by RNA polymerase I as part of the 45S precursor that also contains 18S and 28S rRNA. Functionally, it is thought that 5.8S rRNA may be involved in ribosome translocation.
Source: RNAcentral
UAAUGUGAAUUGCANAAUUCAGUGAAUCAUCGAAUCUUUGAACGCACCUUGCGCCCCUUGGUAUUCCGAGGGGCAUGCCUGUUUGAGUGUCA